Anopheles sinensis is the source of this 77-nucleotide microRNA precursor. It matches the Rfam family "mir-11 microRNA precursor family". The record is from Rfam. Lineage: Eukaryota; Metazoa; Arthropoda; Insecta; Diptera; Culicidae.
AUAUCCGGCAGGAACUCGGUGCUGUGAUCUGUGUGGUUUUAAUAUUUCACAUCACAGUCUGAGUUCUUGCUCGAUGG